RNAcentral lists this long non-coding RNA (527 nucleotides) under Marmota monax (woodchuck). Lineage: Eukaryota; Metazoa; Chordata; Mammalia; Rodentia; Sciuridae. The record is from RNAcentral.
GCCCUUCUGCCCGCUGGGAGCCCCCCGCCCAGCAGCUCUGGGUGGGGGCAGGAGAGGUCACCUGGCCGCAGUCCCUGUGCCUCCACAAGGACCACCCCCACAGGUGCCAGGGCCGUGCCAGCCUGGAGAGAGCACCCUGCGUUCUGGAAAUUAACCCAGGAAGGACGUUAGUGCUCGUGUGUCCGCCACCCUCUGUGCCAGGCCUGUGCCCGCAGCUUCUCACGUGAGCAAGGGUGAUCUUCAUGGGGACCUGCAAGGGACCUGCCACUGUCACCCUCGGUUUAAAAGCAAGAGAGUGAGGCGGAGGGAGUGAGGUGAAGGGGCCGGCCUUGAGCCACACACGGGUCCUGUCGCCCCCUCCCCGCCGUCUUGCCUGGACCUGGAGUGGGGCCGCAUCUCCACUGUGGUUGGAGGGUCAAGGGAGGCAGAAUGGGCAGGACAGGGCAGCUGGGGAGCAGGGUACCUGGCAGUGGGCACCACAGGGCAGAGGCCAGAGGCAAAGGGGUCGGCUCUGGGGGGAGCUGAAG